UUUGAGGAAAGCCGGGAGGGGUCAUUACCGAGUUUACAACUCCCAAACCCCUGUGAACAUACCAAUUGUUGCCUCGGCGGAUCAGCCGCUCCCGGUAAAACGGGACGGCCCGCCAGAGGACCCCUAAACUCUGUUUCUAUAUGUAACUUCUGAGUAAAACCAUAAAUAAAUCAAAACUUUCAACAACGGAUCUCUUGGUUCUGGCAUCGAUGAAGAACGCAGCAAAAUGCGAUAAGUAAUGUGAAUUGCAGAAUUCAGUGAAUCAUCGAAUCUUUGAACGCACAUUGCGCCCGCCAGUAUUCUGGCGGGCAUGCCUGUUCGAGCGUCAUUUCAACCUCAAGCCCAGCUUGGUGUUGGGACUCGCGAGUUAAACCGCGUUCCCCAAAUUGAUUGGCGGUCACGUCGAGCUUCCAUAGCGUAGUAGUAAAACCCUCGUUACUGGUAAUCGUCGCGGCCACGCCGUUAAACCCCAACUUCUGAAUGUUGACCUCGGAUCAGGUAGGAAUACCCGCUGAACUUAAGCAUAUCAAUAAGCGGAGGAAA
This 543-nucleotide ribosomal RNA is filed under the name Fusarium verticillioides. RNAcentral's name for it is "partial 18S ribosomal RNA". The stretch from base 175 to 328 matches the Rfam family "5.8S ribosomal RNA". Lineage: Eukaryota; Fungi; Ascomycota; Sordariomycetes; Hypocreales; Nectriaceae. The record is from RNAcentral.